AGCUUUGCGCAGUGGCAAUAUCAUAGCCAAUGAGGUUUAUCCAAGGCACGAUUGUUGCUAUUAGGUAAUAGAUUUUCUAAAUUUGCUUAGCUUUUUAAAUUCUUAUUUUUCAAUUGAGA
This 119-nucleotide small nuclear RNA is filed under the name Canis lupus familiaris (dog). Its description in RNAcentral is "U4 spliceosomal RNA (ENSCAFG00000044666.2, ENSCAFG00030015991.1, ENSCAFG00040007689.1, ENSCAFG00845001435.1)". It matches the Rfam family "U4 spliceosomal RNA". From Rfam's summary of the family: U4 small nuclear RNA (U4 snRNA) is a component of the major U2-dependent spliceosome. The structure of U4 snRNA from yeast and human has been reported. U4 snRNA presents a k-turn RNA motif in the 5p-SL related to recognition of Snu13 protein. Lineage: Eukaryota; Metazoa; Chordata; Mammalia; Carnivora; Canidae. The record is from Rfam by way of RNAcentral.